Long non-coding RNA from Gavialis gangeticus (Gharial), 406 nucleotides. RefSeq lists it as uncharacterized. The record is from RefSeq and is a predicted model, not a curated record. NCBI's taxonomy places the organism in Eukaryota, Metazoa, Chordata, Crocodylia, Gavialidae. The transcript is spliced from 3 exons.
CACAGACAGAGACCUAGCUUUAAUUUUCCUCCUGAAAAAAACCUUUCUCCUGAUAACUCUGCUUUAGAACAGAGCAAAGGGGCCUAUAUAGUGGAAGAACCCCAAUUAUCUCACACAAUUUUACCAUGCCAAGUGAUCUCACCUCCAAGGAAGGAAGAGGUGCUUUGGAGUAUCAUUUCCUAGAAACACCAGAAGGAGGGGGGCCUGGCUGAAGGCUUCUAACAGCACUAAUACAAAACUACAGAAAUGCUCAGCCUGAGAAUCGGAACCCAAGGGUCAGAAUGCCAAAACGGCAGAGCAGAAGAGCAUGGUAAAAAAAGAACAGACCUUAUGGUCUCAAAGGAAAACACACCACCACACCCUGAGAGAAACAUGUGUAAAAACUAGGGCUGUCAAUUAAUCACUU